AUCACCCCAAUCUCCAAUCGACAUUCCUUUUCGAUGGUAGGUGUUGCAUCAUCCGACGGCAGCAUGAUGGUGGUUUCUUCUUUUGUAAUUCAAAUUUCAAAAUUUGAUUGUUAAAAAAGAAUUUGAAAUUUUAAAUGUUAAUUGAUGGGUUGGUAGAGCAAAAUUUGAAAUUCAAAUUUUAAAUUCAAAUUUCAGGUUUGGUGGGUAUACCUCU
RNAcentral lists this long non-coding RNA (214 nucleotides) under Elaeis guineensis (African oil palm). RNAcentral describes it as "long non-coding RNA (EGUI_LNC052472)". Lineage: Eukaryota; Viridiplantae; Streptophyta; Magnoliopsida; Arecales; Arecaceae. The record is from RNAcentral.